GGUUAAGGAAGAUCCUUCCCCGCGUGCGGGAGCCUUUGCAGCUGGAGACAGUAAGCCCGGCGACUCUAAACAAUCCGGUGCCUCGUGCAAGUCGGCCUUCCGGCCGGCGACACUUUCGAAUUGCGGGGAACCCCUAAGAGCCCUCCACACCAAGCCAGCCCGGGAAACCGGCUGGUGGCCCAUCGGAAACCAUGGGGUACGGUAACAGUGGGAGGGAUGAUCCCGGCGGAGACGCCGGGUGAAAUGGGCAAUCCGCAGCGAAGCCCCUCGUGCCGCCCGCCAGGGCGGCGUGGGGAACGUUCACAGACUAAGCGGAAGUGGGUGGGGCGUCCAAGGCCCUGCUUAAGAUAUAGUCGGGCUCCCUCAGAAAUGUCGGAGAGCAAAACACCAAACCGUUCCGUAGGUGAACCUGCGGAAGGAUCAUUACCGAGACGAGAUCGGGGGGGGAAACCCCCCGCAGAUCGUAUCACCACCCUCCUUCACAACGCACCUCACGUCCUUCCUCGGCGGGGCAACCCGCCGGCGGAACGUUCGCAAACCCUUUUCUCAUGCAUCCGAGCAGUACCCGUUCCGAUGAAAGAAACAAAUCGUUUACAAUCUUCAACAAUGGAUCUCUUGGCUCUGGCAUCGAUGAAGAACGCAGCGAAAUGCGAUAAGUAGUGUGAAUUGCAGAAUCCAGUGAAUCAUCGAAUCUUUGAACGCACAUUGCGCCCCUCGGUAUUCCGUGGGGCAUGCCUGUUCGAGCGUCAUUUCAAGGCUCAAGCUUCUCUGCUUGGUGUUGGGGCGUCUGUCCCCCGUCCCCCGACGGCGGGACUCGCCCCAAAGACAUUGGCAGCCCAGGCCGUCCGACCCGCCCGCAGCACAUUGCGUCCGGCGGGGUCGACGUUGCGGCCCGCGGCGUCCAGCAAAGGAAAGACAUCUCAGUUUUGACCUCGGAUCAGGUAGGGAUACCCGCUGAACUUAAGCAU
Molecule: ribosomal RNA, 968 nt
Filed under: fungal sp. 57488
Lineage: Eukaryota; Fungi
Description: eukaryotic LSU rRNA
Rfam family: 5.8S ribosomal RNA (bases 596-749)
Source: RNAcentral